GGGAACGGUCCAUAUCGAUGAACAUUUACAUGUAAAUCUGUGGGAUUAAAACCAAAUGGCUGAUUUUCCUCCCCAGUCCCAUCGUCAGGUUGAUGUGAAACAUAAAAGUAUUAAAAGUACAAACAACAUGACUGAGACAGUAGAACGAUACACUGGUGAUGGCUGCGCUCGGCGGCGUUAGCUAAAAAGCACGGUCUAAUUGACAACAAGCGCAGGAACACAACGACGAUCCAACUUCGUGCCGAGGCGCUCUUCCAUUUUUCUGUUACAGGCGGUUCUUCGGUGAUUCUAGGUGGCCUCAGGGGCAGAACCGGCAGAACCUGCCGAGCCGUGUGGUUCACCUGCGGCCAUCUUGUCUCCCUUCCUUCUCUAACUCUGAACACGCUCCUCUCUCUUGUUUUUGCAGUUUUAAUCAAAUCAAAACGUUAAACGAUCAAAUUCUGAUGUUUCCAACAUUUUAAACAGAUUUCCGUCUCUAAACACGAGACUGAAGUUUGACAAAGUAAUCGAUCAUGUUGUCAGGACUAGUUUCCUCCAGCUUCGUCUCCUGGUCAAGGUCAUAAUGUUCUUAAGCCGUCACGACCUUGAGAUAACCAUCUAAGCUCUAAUCGGUUCAAGAUGAGACUAUUGUAAUCCACUUUAUGUUUUCAUCUCUUCGUCUCCGUCAGCUUCUCCAAAAUGCUGCUGCCGUCUUUAAACACUAACAGACGUGAGAACAUCACUCCUGUCCUCAGCCUCCUUCAUCGUCUUCUCGUCUCUUUUAGGAUCGAUUUUAAACUGUAAAUGUUUGUUUUUAAAGCUCUUUUAAAAGCCUCGCCUCCAUCUAUUUAUCUGAGCUUUUAACCAUUCAGGAGCCGAGUAGAGCUCUGAGGUCGUCAAAUCAACU
Non-coding RNA from Xyrichtys novacula (pearly razorfish), 886 nucleotides. The record is from the annotation of a GenBank genome assembly. Lineage: Eukaryota; Metazoa; Chordata; Actinopteri; Labriformes; Labridae.